Molecule: ribosomal RNA, 911 nt
Filed under: Trichophyton benhamiae
Lineage: Eukaryota; Fungi; Ascomycota; Eurotiomycetes; Onygenales; Arthrodermataceae
Description: LSU rRNA
Rfam family: Eukaryotic large subunit ribosomal RNA
Source: RNAcentral
GCAUAUCAAUAAGCGGAGGAAAAGAAACCAACAGGGAUUGCCCCCAGUAACGGCGAGUGAAGCGGCAAGAGCUCAAAUUUGAAAUCUGGCCUCCUCCGGGGGUCCGAGUUGUAAUUUGCAGAGGAUGCUUCGGGUGCGGCCCCCGUCUAAGUUCCUUGGAACAGGACGUCAGAGAGGGUGAGAAUCCCGUCUUGGGCGGGCGGCCCGCGCCCGUGUGAAGCUCCUUCGACGAGUCGAGUUGUUUGGGAAUGCAGCUCUAAGCGGGUGGUAAAUUUCAUCUAAAGCUAAAUACUGGCCGGAGACCGAUAGCGCACAAGUAGAGUGAUCGAAAGGUUAAAAGCACCUUGAAAAGGGAGUUAAACAGCACGUGAAAUUGUUGAAAGGGAAGCGCUUGCGGCCAGACUCGGGGGCGGGGUUCAGCGGGCGCUCGUCGCCCGUGCACUCCCCGCGCCCCGGGCCAGCAUCAGUUUCGACGGCCGGUCAAAGGCCCCCGGAAUGUGUCGUCUCUAGGGACGUCUUAUAGCCGGGGGUGCAAUGCGGCCCGUCGGGACUGAGGAACGCGCUCCGGCUCGGAUGCUGGCGUAAUGGCCGUAAGCGGCCCGUCUUGAAACACGGACCAAGGAGUCUAACAUCCACGCGAGUGUUCGGGUGUCAAACCCGUGCGCGCAGUGAAAGCGAACGGAGGUGGGAGCCUUUGGGCGCACCAUCGACCGAUCCUGAAGUCUUCGGAUGGAUUUGAGUAGGAGCGUGGCCGUUGGGACCCGAAAGAUGGUGAACUAUGCCUGAAUAGGGUGAAGCCAGAGGAAACUCUGGUGGAGGCUCGCAGCGGUUCUGACGUGCAAAUCGAUCGUCAAAUUUGGGCAUAGGGGCGAAAGACUAAUCGAACCAUCUAGUAGCUGGGUUCCUGCCGA